Molecule: unclassified non-coding RNA, 200 nt
Filed under: Septobasidium sp.
Lineage: Eukaryota; Fungi; Basidiomycota; Pucciniomycetes; Septobasidiales; Septobasidiaceae
Description: partial internal transcribed spacer 2
Source: RNAcentral
UUAAGUUCAGCGGGUAGUCCCAUCUGAUUUGAGGUCUAAAGUUCAGAUUGGUGGUUCGAAGCUACACCAUAUGAUUCGGCUGCCUGUACAGGCAUCCCCAAUGAAAGACUUAUCACAUUGGGUCAAUCCGAGUAAUACAGAGAUUGCUUAUGCAUUUGAAGCGAGCUGCGGUGAAGCAGCAACGCCUAACAUCCAACCAA